This 827-nucleotide long non-coding RNA is filed under the name Homo sapiens (human). RNAcentral's name for it is "non-protein coding lnc-SNX10-5:1". Lineage: Eukaryota; Metazoa; Chordata; Mammalia; Primates; Hominidae. The record is from RNAcentral.
GGAAUGGACUUCUCCCAUUCUACUGGGGCAGCCUGGAGAACACUUGGGCUUCGAAGACCACUUCCCUCUGCUCCCCAGGGCCUUCCCCACUGGCUUCAGAGGCGUGACUGAGGGCAAGAAGGAAGAGCCAAGAUUCUGUCUACAUGUGUGAUCGACAAUGUUAAUUCUCAUAUUGUACAUUGUGCCAUCUCUCCCUGAACUUUAUUGAUGUUUUGAAGCAAAACAACCAUUUACUCCUCUCCUAAAGAUUCCAGUUAAUGAGGUGCGCACAGGCCCCUUUGCAGAGCGCCAGCCAUUUCCAGGGAGGCACAGUGGUAGCAUUUCAGUGCCGUUCUGCUCAGGAAAGACGACCAAACAGCCCUCCUGCCCUCACCUUUGCACACCACACAUCUCAGCUUCAACUCGCCAUCACGGUGGUCCCAGGCACGGUCGCUGCAACAUCAGAAGGGCGGCAUUUCAGCAAGCAUUUGUUUUUGGGGUAGGGGUAGUGGUAAUUACCAGCACAUGAUUAUUUUAUUUUGUCUGAAUUAUUUACAAUGGAAGGAAGCAGUUUGGAGGGAAGGGGAUAUUAGGGAAUGAGUUCAAUCCCACUUGCAUUGAUUCUACCCAGAGCAAGAAGAGCAAGCCUAUUGAGAAGAAAAAUCACUUCCUUUUCUUCCUCUUUCCUCUCCACCCCUAAGUCUUAGAAAUAAAUAAAUAAUGCAAAGAAAAGCCCUGGGUGGCUGCAUGGGAGGGGCCAGUGGCUGGGUGUCUGUGGCCUUCACUGAGGACUCACUUCCAUUAUUACAUCGGGUCCUGGGCUGGAGCGUUCAGUGGUUCAAUUCUUG